AUGAUCACGUUCUCUCCUUCAGAGGAUCCGCCUGCGCAAACACCACUUCCCAGUUCCUCCUGUCUGCUCUUCUUUUCCUGUAUGUGUGGUGGAAAACAAUUCACGUCGACACCUGGGGAGGUUGGACUUGGGACUGUUUCCAGGAGUGGGGCUCCUACAUCCAGCUGGCUGUUCCCAGUAUGUUCAUGGUGUGCAUCGAGUGGUGGACCUUUGAGAUCGGCACCUUCCUCGCAGGUUGGUCAGCAGUUCCGUAGAAAUCCAAAAACAGCCCGGUCACUCUUGUCUCCAGAGCUUUUCAAGAGACAUAGGCCUUACUUCUCCUUCCUUCCCGUUGCGUCAGGCACUCGUGGAAGUUUCAGCAUAGGUUUAAAUCCUUGUCCAACCCUAAGCUAUUCAAGUUGAGUGGGGCUUUUAGCUCUGCCUCACUGCCCUUCACUUCCUAGAUUCGGAAAGGGAGGCCGCAGUUGGGAGGUUUGCCACGGUCACGGAGAGGGAGAACAGAAAGCCCAGUCCAGGUCUCCUGACUCUCUCAGACCCUCUGCUUCCGCCGACCUUUGCUGGGCACCUGCGAGUUUUAAGCCAUUUACAAACACAGAGUGACUGAUGUGGCUCUAGCAGCUAUGAUAAUUUCGGUCAUCGGUAUUCACUGUAGCCAUCUUAUUGCUAGUAAAGGAGUAGAGGAAAUAACACAGACAGAGGUUGAUAACGAUGCUAGUACAGUUUCUGGGGACAGCUGAGUACUCCAGUAGUCCCACCACGUCUACACAGAAUGCCACUGCGUUCCGUCCUUCCCCUCCCACAUCACGACCCUAUGUCUCCCCGAGGAGUGACCUGUAACUCUAGGAGCCUCGUUGUUUUCUCUUUAAACCUGAUGUUUUGUUGCUUGGUGGGGCAGGGCCUUGUAGAUUGAACCUAGCUGCCCUGGUUCUCGGAAACUUCCUGGGAGUGGACAUCUGGGGCUCUCCUUAGCACAGGUCGUGAACUCUGCCACUCGGUCAUGCUUCUGGGGGCACUCCUAGCUUCUUUAAAAAUUUUUCUAAUAAUUUUAUUUAUUUAUUUGAGAGAAAGAGCACGCACGAGUUGGGGGGAGGGGCAGAGGGAGAGAAUCUCCAAGCAGACUCCCUGCUGAGUGCAGAGCCCACAGGGCUCGAUGUCAUGACCCAUGAGAUCACGAUCUGAGCCGAAACCAAGAGGUGGACACUUAACCGACUGAGCCACCCAGACACCCCUUCACUUCUUUUCAGUUAAGAUAUGUUCUAGUUGCCUAGGGAAAUGUUUGCUUUAAUCCACUUCUAAGAUGUCUUUUGUAUGUGUCUGUGCCAACAUUUCAGGCCUGAUCAGUGUGACAGAGCUUGGGGCCCAGGCCAUCGUUUACGAACUGGCCUCUGCAGCCUACAUGGUAAGAACCUUCAGGGUGAGACCCAGCACCUUCUCUGCGUAAACUGCCGGUCCGCUGUCACUCAUUCAUUCAGCCUGCCAUGCCGUGCACCGGCAGAGAGGGGAGGCGGGCAGCAGGAGAGAGAGCACAGCAUACUGGGGAGAGCGUGGGGUGGGGAGCCAGGCACCGGGCUUGAGUCCUGCCCUGCUGCUCCCCAGCUGUGCCACUAUGGGCUCGUUACUUAACCCUUCUGGGCUUCAGUUUUCUCAUACAUGGAAUGGGAAAACAUAAUACAUAUGUAGCAGGUGAAGACUGAAUGGGAUAGAUAAUGUGUUAAAGCACUUAGCACAAGGCCUGGCAUGUGUAUUCAACCAACAUGGAGUUGGUGCCAGGAGAUGAUGGAGAGUGAGAUGGAGACGGUCCCUGCCCACUCGUGGCCCGUGGUCUGGUGGGGAGACGGAGACAAACAGACGGAGACACGAGAGCAUUACACACAUACAUGACCUGUGCCACAGAAGAGGCAAAAAAAGGUCUGAGGUGCAUAAAAAUAGAGAUGGAUACCUUUGUAGGGAGGGCAGUCAGAAGCGGUCCUUCUGAGUUCCUGGCUAAGCUGAGACGGGAAAGGGGAGAGGGACCAGCCUGGGAAGCCGGAGGCUGAGAGCUGACUGCAAAGCCUGAGCAAAGGUUCCACGAUGGAAAAGAGCACGUGGCGUGUUCAGGGACCCGAAACGGGAACCCGGCUGAAGGGGUUAGUGAGGAAAGAAGGGUGUGACCUGUAGAAGCUGGCUUAGGGGAGAACAGGUGGUUGGGGAAGGUCUGGAAGGAGGCUGCUGGAAUCAUCUAGGUGAGCACGUGGGAGGCUGCUGGUGGACGGGGAGAAAAGUCGUGAGUUCGUUGUGUUGCAGGGCAGAGUUGAGAGGAUAUGACCAGGGCUUGGGUUUGGAAGCCAAGGCAAUGAAUAGGAAGCAUCAAAAACAACCCCCGACUUUCUGGCUUGAAUAACUGUGCCUUGUAUCUCUCGAUUCUUUUGGAAUAUUCCAAACGUGUACGAAUACUCCCUUGUUUGUCGCUGUUUGGUAUUUUUUUUAAAGAUCAGCAAAGGCCAUCUGGGUAAUUGGGUUACGGGCCAUUUUUGUUUCCAUGUAUUUUUCUUUUUUUAGUCUCAAAAAUGAACACAAGGUUUUCUUAGUGGGGAUUGAUGACGUUGUUUGGGAAUAAAAACGGAGAGUGUCUAGGAGCA
Molecule: long non-coding RNA, 2618 nt
Organism: Ursus maritimus (polar bear)
Lineage: Eukaryota; Metazoa; Chordata; Mammalia; Carnivora; Ursidae
Source: Ensembl